AUUCUGUGCGACAUUACAAUAUGGCUGCGCUCAUGAGAGAAUGUACGUCUACAUUUCAUUAGGUCUACAGUUACCAAUAUCAAUUUAACAGUCUACGUCAACUGUGUGAUAAUGUGAGUGCAAUGAUAAUUUGGUGUAAAUUCUAUACUAUAGACUAUAGCCUCACAUGUACAAAUACCGAAACUGUAACAUAGGCUAGUAACUUGUUUUGAAACUUUUUAUGGUGAACCACAGGAGUCGCUUAUCAUUGGGCGGACUUCAUUUGUCCAAGAUUGGCGUACGCCGAAAUGCGUCGGUCAUAUGACCGGCGUAAAACGGCGAAUUGGCAAAUGAAGUAAACCGGCGUGAAACAAACAUGGAUGAACAUGUUGUUGUUACAAUGAAAUACAGAUUUUUUCGUAGUUUCUUACAAUUUCUUUUUAACUGCCAGCAUGAUAAGUAAUGUAUUGUGCAACCUCGGUAUACUUCGCAUAUGAGCAAAGUUGUGCAGGAAUUAAACGUUAUAUCAAAGCUACGAAUGAACAUUUAUUUAAUCAAUGCAUUCAAGCAAUGAACAUGCUGAUCUAUUAAUAAAUAUAUCUACAUUUUUUUUAUCUCAUAACAUCAUCUUACCGUGAGCUUUCUGCCCUUUUUGAAAAAUCAGCGAAUUCCACGCCGGUCUUUCUAAACCGGCAAGAUUGGCGUACGCCGGCAAACCUUUCCCGGACAAAUGAAGCAACAAGCCGGGUAACCAAAGGUCAAGCGGCGCAUUCGGCAUACGCCGAUUUGACAAAUGAAGUCCUACCAUUGAUAAGAGAGAAAAAAGCUUAUUGUUUAAAGAUUAAUGCAAUGGAUCUGUUGAAAAGCAACUAUGAAGAAAUUCAAAGUGAAACAGACAAUGAAGAUACUGGAGAAGAGAGUGAUGAUGGAAUUUCUAAAGACAGAAGCACUAAGAACAAGAUUGUGUCCAACAGUGCUGAACAGUCAGGUGGUGCAGAUUUCUUUGGUUUGAAUGAAACUUCUGAUGAGGAAAUUGAAGAGCCCCCAUCAAAGAAAAAAAUGCAAUACUUGAUAAAGUUAAAGGAUUCAAUGAGUGAAGUGGAAGUCCCUGACAGUGAGUUCUGGAGAGAUUUCACUCCUCGACAAAAUCUGGAUGGUCAUGAGGUCGUAGAUAAAAGGAAUGAACAGAAUACACGGCAGGGUCGGAAACAGGGAAGGCACAGUAAUAAACAUCAGACAGUUCCUAAUAAUUCAUGCUCUUAUAAAGCAGACAGCGGGUACAGUAAGAAUAGAAAAGGAAAUGAACAUGAUUUCAGCUGUAAACCUUCAAGUGAAUCUUUCAACAGAUCUGACCAGUCACAACAGAGCACAAGCUCUAGCAGCGAAUCACAAACACAGCGACAGCUCUUCUACAUACAUUCAAAGAUAGCACCACAUAUGACCAAAUGCAACACCCACAAUAGGUAUCCAUAUCGGGUGGAGAGAGAACUCGAUGGUCAUACACAGACGGUGAACAGAGUGAUGUGGAAUAAGUCGCCUUACUGUCACCUGUUUCUGUCAGCCUGUAUGGAUGGAACUGUUAGGAUCUGGAACAUCUGGACUCAGCUUUCACCCUGUGUUAAGCUGCUCAGUAUCCACAGAAGAGCUGUAAAAGAUGCUGUUUGGAGUCAUGAUGGAAGACAUAUUUUCAGUUGUAGUUAUGACAAGACUGCAAAGUGGAUAGAUAUAGAAAAAGGUACAGCAGUAUCCACCUUUAAACACCCCUCAUAUGUAACAAGCUGUAAAGUUCACCCAAAUGACCCCAAUCUCAGCAUUACUGGAUCUUGGAACAGUAUUUACUGCUGGGACACCAGGGUCAGCCUUUCUCCCUGUAAAACAUACACUCACAAGGAUUCCUAUGGUCAGGUUCAGGAUCUUCUAUUCAACAGAGAUGGAGACACAUUUUUCUCUGCAGGAGAUGAGAUCAGCCAAGACUCUGCUGACAGAAACAUCAUGGCUUGGGAUUUCAAGACCACUAGUGUGUUAUCCAACCAGAUAUAUCAAGAGAGGUAUAGUUGCACCCGACUGAAGCUACAUCCUACUUCUAGCCAUUUUCUGGCACAGUCACAUGGAAACUACAUUGCCAUAUUUUCUGCCAACAGGCCAUAUAAGAUGAACAAAGCAAAACGUUUAGAGGGUCACAAGCUGUCAGGCUAUUCAGUUGGAUUUGACAUUUCUCCGGAUGGAUCUGUAGUUCUAAGUGGUGACAGUAAUGGACAGAUGUUGUGCUAUGAUUAUCAGACAGGGAAGAUCAUCAACAAGAUCCAGACUGGUCUGGAUGUAGCCAUGGAUGUUAACUUCAAUCCACUCCUGCCUUCCACUGCAGUCGUAUGUGGAUGGAAUGGAAAAAUCCAAGUCCUGAAUUAGAAUUCAGUCAGAUGGAAGGUUUUACACCAAAACCUAGACACCAUCACCACAUGAAACACAGUUUUGAAGGAACAAGACAAUCUGAUCAUGACUGCUGCAUACGCUUGUAUCACAGUAUUCUGUGUCAGAAGAGACUACACACUACCUGCUGUCAGAAAAUGAAGAGUCAAGAGAUUGCUGGUCUUGGCCACAUUGUCUGCAAAAAAAGUUAAAUCCAUGACAGGGAACCGAAUUAAGUAAAACAGGUCACCCAGGGCUACUCUCUGGUUCUCUUCAGUGCUUUCUACUCCUCGAUGGUUGCAUUCUUUCUUGGCCCAAUUUGACAUGCACUCCAGGAUGUGAUCUUCAUCCAAUGGGAGAUCAUCUCUUUCAAUUAUCUUUUUCACACAGGAUCUGCAUAGCUGUGUAAAGGACUCUGACUUGAUACAUUCAAAGGCGUGUUUAACAAUGUAGUCUAGGCACGUGUUGAAAAGUUCAUCUUCAUCAAAGAUGUGUGCGUUUUCCGCAAUGAUACAUACGUUAUCUGGACUGAUGUUCUUCUCUAGAAAAGACCUGCAUUUUAAGGUGACUUUAGAGAGUCCAUACUUGCGAGCAGCAUACAGGAUGUGUGUGACAUUGUCUUCAUUGAUUGUUAUUUCUUCACAGUACAUGUACCUAUCAAAUGUGAAGAUACAUUUCUGUAAAUAAUCAUUAUUGAGGAACAAUAUAGUCCUAAAAAUACUUCUCAUAGGCAUCUUGUUGUGCAAAAUCCGAAUAUUUAUUUGCAUACUAUGAUAGUAAAGAUGGAUAUUUUAAAAAUUCCUUAAGGGAAUGAAGUUAAAGAUAAGACCCCAUUUAAAAUAUCUAUGUCUUUUUCCGACCUAUUAAAAAUUUUAAUAAGUAAAUUAAGCAAACUUUUUUUCUCUCUCUCUUGAAAUUACCUCUAACACCCACAAAAUUCAGGAUAAAAAUCAGAAAAUCAUCAUUAAGUCUAUUUUAAUUUUUUUUUUAAAUCUUAAUUUUAUUUGGUUUUGCCCAGAAACCUGUGCAUUUACACUUAACAAUGGUAUUGUUUAUAAUAUUAUUGUUAUUAUUAAAAUAAAUCUUUGGAAUAAA
RNA transcript from Ostrea edulis (European flat oyster), 3480 nucleotides. It is a transcript of the gene named WD repeat-containing protein 25-like, with no coding region annotated. NCBI's taxonomy places the organism in Eukaryota, Metazoa, Mollusca, Bivalvia, Ostreida, Ostreidae. The record is from RefSeq and is a predicted model, not a curated record. The transcript has 8 exons.